CUGAAUUUUAAGUAAGAUAUUCCUAUGCAAAAUUCCAGCUUCAUCUUUGGUUUGAAGAGGUGCAUCUCCAGCAGAACUCUGCAGCUUGACCUAUAGAGCCAGCCACUGUAGGCUGGAUUAUCAAAGAUGAGAGCUGGAUAUUUACAAUUGUCUAUUGAAGAACUGCAGAACAGGAGAAAAAAAAUGGCCUGAAAAUUGUGCUUUGUUAUGCAGCACCAUGUAAACCUCUCUCUUUUGUCCUGUUGUACUUUUAAUUACAUUUUUUUAUCACC
This 272-nucleotide long non-coding RNA is filed under the name Phasianus colchicus (ring-necked pheasant). Its description in RNAcentral is "lncRNA (ENSPCLG00000010442.1)". The record is from RNAcentral. Lineage: Eukaryota; Metazoa; Chordata; Aves; Galliformes; Phasianidae.